AAAUGACAUUCAUUUUUGCCUGGCUGUCUAGGCUUACAUGCAUUGGCAGUACAAAGUAUAAUCAUCUUUGACACUGAGUCUUUAAAAGAUGUUUUUUACCUAAGUCGUACAAAUUCAAAAUUUGAGGAAAUAAAAUUGACUAAAAAUAGAUUAACUGAAAAUAAAAGUUAUUUUAAUGGAAUUUAGAUUGCUACUACAGGCAUUCAAACAAACAAAAUAAAUCAAUAACAAAGUUUGCAGAAGUCUUCACUAGGACUGAGACAUAUGAACAUAUUAAAGGGGUAUCCCAAGAACCAAAACCACUGCUACAUCUUAUUGGUGAAUGACGAAUAUGGCGGCAGACCAUUUUUAGUGAAUCAUUUUCUGUUGGUGUGACAAAAAAUGGGG
Molecule: non-coding RNA, 387 nt
Organism: Pelobates cultripes (western spadefoot toad)
Lineage: Eukaryota; Metazoa; Chordata; Amphibia; Anura; Pelobatidae
Source: the annotation of a GenBank genome assembly